AAAUUUUCAAAAAGUUUCAAUUCCAAAAAGGCAAAAACCCACUCCAAUGCUCCACUGAAGCCACUCUCUCCCUACUCUGAGCUCCCACGACCCGAAUUAAGUUGGCAUCCCCAAGCUCGAAUUGGAACCCCAUUUUAUCUGCUCCGUCAUCUGUCAGAGCCUCUAUAUCUACUAGUUUUCUUUCUCCUUUCGUGGGUGGCAGCGUGUUCGAGGACUUUUCGGGUCCUAAAAUCCAACCCACCUCCCUCAAUCCUUAUUCAUCGACUAUCGUGGCAAACGUAUUGUCGUCACGAUGGUACUCUUUCUCGCUACCCUUAGACCUGAUUUUUAUAAUGGGUUUUUGUUAUGAGUUGAGCUUGAGGAUCAUGCAUUUUUCUUUUAUAAUUUUGUUGGGCAUAUGGUAAUGAUGUAGAAUUGUUGUAUGUACAAUAUAUGAUGAUGUUAUUUAGAGUUGAAAACGAGAUUUGGGGAUUUUCAUUUAAGUAUUGAACUUAAUUUAAUUAUAUUGUUGAUAUGGAAGUUGACAAUGAUGAAGUUGAACUAAAAGAGGCAUAUAUAUUUCUCCGUUUCAUGAUUUUGUUAUCGCUGUUAUUUUUUUGUUAUUACUUUCUUAAUGUAGCAUAGUUCAAAUCGUAUGAUAUCAACUUUUAAAAGUGUGGGUUUUUUUAUUAUUAUUUUUUCUCUCUAUAUGUUGUUAGUUGAAUUAUUGUAGUCAUUGUCUAUACUAAUGCUGAAGUGUUCUGCCAGUGAUCUUAUACUUAUACUUUCUGGCAAGAAGGCAACCACUUUGAAUGAGUAAUUCUCAAAGUAAAAUUAUAUCAACUUUUCAAUCCUUACAACUUUUAGUGGGGAAAUUUGUCAUUGAAAUUUAGUGCAUAUGAUGAAUAACAUGGAAAAUUGUGCAUGUUUUCGUUUACCUGUUGCCAUCUACCAAGAACGGUCUAGUCAUUGAGGCUAUUGGGAUAUAAUGCGACUCGUCUAGUAGACAAGUAUUUUGUAUGUUAUCUAUUAUCAAGAAAUGUUGUUUUGUUUUUUAAUUUAUUCACCUUCAAAAAGACUUGGUUUCUGUCAUUCUAGUUUUCAGUUCAUACAUGUAUGUAUGUUAUAUGUUUAACUAUGCUCCUUGUUGAUUCUUGAGUUGGUUUGGUAAUAAGAAGCAAGGCUCAAAUAUCUAAAGCAAAGGCUGGCAGUUCCUUUUGAUGUUUCUUUUUUGGAGCAUCAAGUAUGGAUGGGAAGCUGUUGAAUGGAAGUGAAGCUCAUCUUCAAGGUAACACAAGAUACUUCAUCAAGCUACUUGAUCCUGUCAUUGAAAGAAUGGAGUUGGUAUCGAUGUGAAAUAUAGGAUAGAAAGUUUUGAUAUCAGAAUGAGGCAUAAAUUGUCAUUGAUGAUUGUAGGAGCGAUAGAAGAUAGGUUUAGGAAAGACAAUGCAAUGAACAUUUAUUGGCUUGUUAUGACUGGU
This 1460-nucleotide long non-coding RNA is filed under the name Olea europaea subsp. europaea. Lineage: Eukaryota; Viridiplantae; Streptophyta; Magnoliopsida; Lamiales; Oleaceae. The record is from RNAcentral.